RNAcentral lists this transfer RNA (89 nucleotides) under Stegodyphus mimosarum. RNAcentral describes it as "tRNA-Tyr for anticodon GUA". It matches the Rfam family "tRNA". Rfam says of the family: Transfer RNA (tRNA) molecules are approximately 80 nucleotides in length. Their secondary structure includes four short double-helical elements and three loops (D, anti-codon, and T loops). Further hydrogen bonds mediate the characteristic L-shaped molecular structure. tRNAs have two regions of fundamental functional importance: the anti-codon, which is responsible for specific mRNA codon recognition, and the 3' end, to which the tRNAs corresponding amino acid is attached (by aminoacyl-tRNA synthetases). tRNAs cope with the degeneracy of the genetic code in two manners: having more than one tRNA (with a specific anti-codon) for a particular amino acid; and 'wobble' base-pairing, i.e. permitting non-standard base-pairing at the 3rd anti-codon position. Lineage: Eukaryota; Metazoa; Arthropoda; Arachnida; Araneae; Eresidae. The record is from Rfam by way of RNAcentral.
CCGUCGAUAGCUCAGUUGGCAGAGCGGUGGACUGUAGAGGUUGUAAAGCAGUAAUCCAUAGGUCGCUAGUUCGACUCCGGCUCGACGGA